This is an RNA transcript of Salvia miltiorrhiza (redroot sage), 6147 nucleotides long. It is a transcript of the gene named putative pentatricopeptide repeat-containing protein At5g52630, with no coding region annotated. NCBI's taxonomy places the organism in Eukaryota, Viridiplantae, Streptophyta, Magnoliopsida, Lamiales, Lamiaceae. The transcript is spliced from 6 exons. The record is from RefSeq and is a predicted model, not a curated record.
CGAUCAAUCCUACAGGCUUACUGAGCGGGCUUUUUAGGCCCUAAAUCCGAGCGGACCGGGCCGGUCCAUCAGACCGGGUCCAUUUUGACUGCAAACCACGUCGUCCUAUGCCCCCUCGUUGCUCCGCUGCGUCUCGCCAUCGAUUGCUGCCUCGCCUCGCCGCCGAUCGAAGGCUACCUAGGCUGCUGCAGUCGCCUUUGCCAAGCCCUCUGCCGUCGUCUGAUUCCGCCGCUGGCGCGCCUGACCCCUGAUUCCCGUGCGUCAUCGCCGAUUGGUGCGCCUUUGCCGCCUAUUCCCGUCGAUUGGAGGUUAAUUUCAGCGAUUUCUCCCCAUCCUCCUCAACCGCCGUCAAAGGCUACCUAGGCUGCUGCAGCCACCGCUGCCAAGCCCUCUGCCGCCGCAGUCGGAUUCCGCCGCUGCCAAGUGUUGGUGUUUUGUUAAAUUGUGGAAGGAAUUUCAGAAAGUAUUUAUUCAUCCACUUGGAAGAGAAUCGACAAGAAAGAGAUAAGCUUCAACGGUGAGUUUGCCAUACCUUGCUUUUAUUUUUUCAUCAUGGUUCAAAUGGCGACCAUGGUUAUUUCAUAGAACACUGUAGAUAAGCAUGUAUCUAGGUAGUUGAUAUGGAGAAUAGGUUGGGGAAUGGCUCGUUCCAUUCCAUUUGUUGCUGUGGUGAUGGCUUGGAGCUGAUUAUGUGCAAUAUGUGUUUAUGUGUUUGUGUAAGAAAUAGGCACAAGUAAUCAUAAAUAUUUGUGAAAUUUAUAGGUUAAGCAAAAUGACAUAUAUAAUGUGAUACGCAUCCCAAGUCUCAACUCUCAAAUCACCACCAACAGCGGCGGCAGUUUCUUUGCUUAAUUUGAUUCAGCGUCUUAUUCUUCUCCCGAAUUUCAAAACCCACGGUAAUCCCUCAGUUUCUUUGCUUAAUUUGAUUUUCACUUGUCACAUUUGUAAUCACUCUUCGCUAAUUUCCUGCACCUUGUGUGCUCCCACUUCAAAUAACUUUGAUGUAUUUUUGAAUCGCUGCAUGUUUUGAUAAUUAACAACCAAAAAGCAAUCUUUACCUGAUUCGUAAGAUUACGAGCAAAGUGCCUGUGAAGUUAGUGAAGAAUGCUAUUGUGUUUAGUUAACUUCAUUAUGUUCAAACAGCUGGAAUUUAUGGUUCUUCAACCAUCUUACAUUUCUUACUCAAAGUUGUUGCCAUUGCUGAGGCAAACUAAGUCUGUAAACGAAGGCCUCCAAAUCCAUGCCCAGCUAGUUAAACUUGGAGUAUCCCAGGAUCCCAAUCACCGUAUCCAUUUGAUAAAUUUCUAUUCUAAGUCUGGAGUUUUUCAUCAUGCCCACAAGCUACUUGAAGAAAGUCCUGAACCAGAUUUGGUUUCUUGGUCCUCACUGAUAUCCGGGUAUACCCAGAAUGGCCUUGGGGAGAAGGCCCUUUUGGCCUUUCGCGAGAUGCAGGCCUUGGGCGUUAAGGGGAACGGGUUCACCUUCCCCAGCGUGCUCAAGGCAUGUGCAAACACAAGCAAUUUUGUGCUCGGGAAGCAAGUCCAUGGAAUUGUAGUGGUAGUUGGGUUUGAGUCGGAUGUUUUCGUGGCAAAUACUCUAGUGCUUAUGUAUGCAAAAUGUGGUAGCUUUUUAGACUCCAGGAGGUUGUUUGAGGACAUCCCUGAGCGAAACGUGGUUUCUUGGAAUGCUUUGUUGACAUGUUAUACUCAAAGCGAUCUUUUUGGGAAAGCAAUGGGAUUGUUUCAGGAAAUGAUUGUAGGUGGAAUUAGGCCGGAUGAGUAUAGUUUGUCAACUAUAUUGAAUGCUGCCACAGGUCUAGGAGAUAUUGGUCAAGGCAAGAAGAUUCAUGGCUAUUUGAUAAAGCUUGGGUAUGAGGGUGAUCCAUUCUCAUUGAAUGCACUAGUAGACAUGUAUGCAAAAGGAGGAGAUCUUGGAAGUGCAAUAAAUGUUUUCAUGAAUGUGCCGGAACCUGAUAUUGUUUCUUGGAAUGCUCUUAUUGCUGGUUGUGUAUCUCACAAACGUCACAUUUGGGCCUUGGAACUGUUAGAUCGGAUGAAGAGUUCCAGGGUGAACCCUAAUUUGUUCACCAUGUCGAGUGUUCUUAAAGCUUGUGCAGCAUUAGGUGUCAAAGAUAUAGGUAAACAGCUUCAUGCCAAAUUGUUAAAGAUGGAGACGAUGAAAGAUCCCUUUGUGAAUGUUGGCCUCAUUGACAUGUACAGCAAGUGUCGUUUGAUGAAGAGUGCUGUAAGUGUGUAUCAUUUGAUGCCAGAAAAGGAAUUGGUCGCAACAAAUGCAUUGAUGUCGGGACUCUCACAAAAUGGGGAGUUGAUGGAAGCUCUCACCCUGUUUCAGGAGAUGCAUAUGCAAUGUAUGGAAUUUAACCAUGCUACUUUACUAACAGUGCUUAACGCUAUUGCUGACUCGGAGGCUACUAGCAUCUGCAAGGAAGUUCACGCGCUUAUUAUGAAGUCUGGUUACCAAGCUGAUACUUUCAUUACAAACAGCCUUAUUGACUCGUAUGGAAAGUGUAGCCAGGUUCACGAUGCUGCUAGAGUUUUUGAAGAAUGCCCAAAUGUGGAUCUACCAACUUAUACAUCAUUAAUGACGACAUAUGCUCAACGCAGACAAGGCGAAGAAGCUUUGAAGCUCUACUUGAAGCUACUAGAAAUGAAUAUCAAGCCGGAUUCAUUUGUUUGCAGUUCUCUUCUUAAUGCUUGUGCGAAUUUGUCAGCGUAUGAGCAGGGGAAGCAAAUUCAUGUUCAUGUCUUGAAAAUGGGGUUCAUGUCAGAUGUCUUUGCUGGGAAUUCACUUGCCAACAUGUACGCCAAAUGUGGAAGUAUCGAGGAUGCUGGUCUUGCUUUCUCUGAGGUUCCAGAGAGAAGUGUGGUCUCCUGGUCUGCGAUGAUCGGUGGGCUAGCACAACACGGCCGGGGUGAAGAGGCUCUCAGUUUGUUCAACGACAUGUUGAAAAGCGGUGUAGCUCCUAAUCAUGUAACAUUAGUCAGUGUCCUCUCUGCGUGUAAUCAUGCCGGUCUAGUUGAUGAAGCUCAAUGGUAUUUUGAGACUAUGAAUGAGCGAUUUGGGAUAGAACGAACGCAGGAGCACUAUGCUUGCAUGAUUGAUGUCCUUGGCAGAGCUGGUAAGUUGGACGAAGCAAAGGGCCUCGUCAGUAGCAUGCCAUUUGAAACUAAUGGCGCCAUUUGGGGGGCACUUCUGGGAGCCGCCAGAAUUCAUAACGACGUAGAGCUAGGAAGACACGCUGCUGAGAUGCUCUAUACUCUCGAACCAGAAAAAUCGGGUACACAUAUUCUCCUGGCUAAUAUUUAUGCUUCAGCAGGAUUAUGGAAAGACGUUCGUAAGGUGCGAAGAUUAAUGAAAAACCGCAAAGUGAAGAAGGAACCGGGGAUGAGCUGGAUGGAGGUGAAGGAUAAGAUUCACACAUUCAUUGUUGGAGAUAGAAGCCAUCCUAGAAGUGAAGAGAUAUAUUUGAAACUCGAGGAGCUGGGGCCUCUGAUGGCCAAAGCCGGUUAUGUUCCUUUGUUAGACACGGACCUCCAUCGCGUUCAAAGUAAAGAAAAGGAAAUUCUCCUCUCCUACCACAGUGAAAAGCUUGCUGUGGCUUUUGGACUCAUAGCUACCUCAUGUGGAGCUCCUAUUAGGGUGAAGAAGAACCUCCGAAUCUGUUCGGACUGCCAUACGUCGUUCAAGUACAUCUCUAAGAUAGCGUCGAGAGUGAUCAUCGUUAGAGACAUCAACCGUUACCACCACUUCAGGGACGGGUCUUGUUCCUGUGGGGAUUAUUGGUAGUGUUGCUCGAGCUGUGGCUUGUGAUGCGCUCUCCUGCGGCUGAAGAAGCAUGUUAGGGUUCUCAUUUUCUUGGAUGAUUCAGGUGGAAUAAGAGAUGAGGAGUGUUGCGAUAUCUGUGGUGAUAUUGGGGUUGAUGAUGCAUUGAUAACUUGCAGCCUAUGUAAAAGAAAUACUGAGCAUAUGUAUUGCAUGAGAAUUGUUCUUGAGAAGCAUGUCAAUGAUUGGCAUUGUGAAGACUGCUCACGCACAUCUUGUCUCCUUGAUUCGUCAAAAAUUAACUCAUUCGCUUGAUUCUGAGAAAUACUUACUGGUCCCUGCUUUGGAUGCUUUGUGGAAGUUAGUUUCUUAAUCACCAAAUGAUACUACCUCAAAUAUAAACUUAUCUCAAAAACUGUUUUUUUUUUUUUUUUUUUUUUUUUUUUUUUUUUUUUUAUGAAUUGUUGCAAAUUAGUGAAUGAGUGUAUGAACAUCUUUAAAUCGCACACUUACCCUAAUAUGGAAAGGAACUGAUGUUGGGUUUGAACUUGAAGUGGAUAAAAGGAUAUCACUGUUGUUUUGCCUAUUGCAGGCAUUCUUAGCUAUCAAGAUAAAUAUUUUCAUCUGGACCUCAUUUUGGAAAAAGAAUCACACAUUUACAGCUGGAUAAAUACAUCUUUGGAACUACAAUCGUUUCUCUAUCCAGUGACUCUAUCGGUUAUUAGUGAACAAGAAUGAGUAGGAUAUAUCUGGUGUAGUCUUCUUGAAGUUGAAACAGCCUCCGGUCAUUUGAUUUCUGAGAAAUAAAGUUUUUUCAUCAAAUUCUAUAAAAUGAAUUCAUUUUAAGUUAGUUCUAUCCUGUUUAUACGUAUAGUGUUGGCAAAGUUAAACAGUUGUAGAAGUGAUUACAAUAAAUGUUUGAAUCUCCUUAUUCCUCACAUUUAGUUUAUGCUCCCACAUCAAAUGCAUUUGACAACUUUUAGCUUCCUGGAUAUUUCUCGUUUAGUAUAAUCUCUAGUUUACUGCUAGGAUUGUUACCAGUUAUGAAAUGCCUUUACCAUAUUCUGAUUUGCGAUCAUGAACUGCAUUCUUUACACUCUUUAUUCUUUAAAGUUCUGCAUGCACAAGUAUAUAUAUAUAUAUAUAUACACAUACAUACUCCCUCCGUCCCACUGUAUCUGAGACUCUUUCUAUUUUGGGCGUCCCACUGUAAGUGAGACUCUUUCCUUUUUGGGUAAAAGUUUUUCCCUUUAAACACCUUUUCACUUUUUCAUCUACACACAAAAUACAUCUUUCUUAAUUCCCGUGCCCAAAAAAAAGGUCUCACUUACAGUGGGACAGAGGGAGUAUUUAUUUUCUGGUUAUUAGGGGAAGCUUCAGGAUCCUGGGUGAUCAUGCACAGAAAGAAAUAAACCAUCUAGUUCAAGCUUAUCCUCCUUCACCAGUUCGUAAAAAGAUCUAUGAAUUCUCAAAGAAAUUGCCAACACUUCUUCAUUUCAAAUUGGUUCCUACCAAACCAUUUUGGAACAACUUAUUCAAUGAGCAUGUUCCAGAUCGAAGUGACAUUGGUCUAUAUUUCUUUCCCGGAGUUGGAUAGAGCUCGGAGGAGGAUUAUAUCUUCUUGAUAGAUCAAAUAAUUUCGACGAACUAUGCAUCGAGGAAGCAGAUUGCAGAUUCAGAUGUUGAACUGUUGGUUUUCAGCUCCAAACUUCUGCAUGCCAAUUGUCAAUGUUGGGAUGGAAAGUAUUUCCUAUGGGGUGUAUUCCGCUAUCUGAAACGAAAUGCCACAACAUGCUCAGACAAUACAGUUCUGGAUUCGACAGUGCAACCAUCAGAUGGUGUGUGAAUCACGACCAGAGUCAGGUGCACGACAGUAAUGAAGUUGACAUGGUAGGUGGCACCGAUGUGGGAAGAGUAGAUCUUCCAGUUAAAGAAAAACCUACAGCUGCUAUGGCUUUACCGGAGUCGGCCCUGCAGGUGGCCUCUGGCCUAAUAGUUGCACCGGUUGCCUUGAUUCCUUCACUAGAUGUCAUUCCUCCUGGAUUUGAGGAGUUGUAUAGGCGAAGAAUCCAGAGCUUGUCUACUCCGAUGGUCGACAUUGGGAAUCGAGGCAUAGACGAGGGGCGAUGAUCGUUCUUUUUCUUGGAUUAUGGGAUCUGAAAAUGUACAGAAAAUGGGUUGUGAAAUUAGUGAUAGAUUUUAGAUGUGGAAGUGUACAAAGCUUAUCUGCAGCAUUUGCUUGGGUAAUUUUGUUGUAGUGGUGAAUUGUUUAUAUUAUGACCAUGAUGUAGAAAUUAGACAGACUAGUAUUGCUUUGCACCAGCGCGAUGCGCUGUUAAUAUUUUAUAUAUUUACUUUGAAACA